CAUUAUCGAAUCAAACUUGAAGCAGGUUGUUGCUGGCCGAGUGUGGCAUGUGCACGCUUGUUUCUCUUUUAUUUCUCCAACUGUGCACAAAUGUUUUUCACAACCUCUGAAUGUAUUAGAAUGGUUUGAAUCUGGGGAAUAUAUAUACAACUUUCAGCAACGGAUCUCUUGGCUCUCGCAUCGAUGAAGAACGCAGCGAAAUGCGAUAAGUAAUGUGAAUUGCAGAAUUCAGUGAAUCAUCGAAUCUUUGAACGCAUCUUGCGCUCCUUGGUAUUCCGAGGAGCAUGCCUGUUUGAGUGUCAUUUAAACUUCUCAACCGCUCCAAAUCUGUUUUGGAUGUGGCUUGGAAAUGGGGGAGUGGUUUUUGCAGGCUUUUUGUUAUGAAAGUCUGCUCCCCUGAAAUGCAUUAGUGGGCGACUGCCACAGGUGUGAUAACUAUCGACGCCUCGGUUAUAUGCUGCUGCUUCAAACCUUUUGAAAAUGACCAACUUGACCUCAAAUCAGGUAGGAUUACCCGCUGAACUUAAGCAUAUCAAUA
Molecule: ribosomal RNA, 538 nt
Filed under: Inocybe sp. LM917
Lineage: Eukaryota; Fungi; Basidiomycota; Agaricomycetes; Agaricales; Inocybaceae
Description: eukaryotic LSU rRNA
Rfam family: 5.8S ribosomal RNA (bases 149-302)
Source: RNAcentral